UUCACAUCGCGCGAUUAAAUUAAGUAGGUCCGUAUGCCCCGAAUCCUCUGGGCUACACGCGGGCUACAAUGGUUAAGACAAUGGGUUCCGACGCCGACCGGGCACACUAAGGGGACCGCCUAUGAUAAAUAGGAGGAAGGAGUGGACGACGGUAGGUCCGUAUGCCCCGAAUCCUCUGGGCUACACGCGGGCUACAAUGGUUAAGACAAUGGGUUCCGACGCCGAAAGGCGGAGGUAAUCCUGUAAACUUAGUCGUAGUUCGGAUUGAGGGCUGUAACUCGUCCUCAUGAAGCUGGAAUGCGUAGUAAUCGCGUUCACAUCGCGCGAUUAAAUUAA
Molecule: ribosomal RNA, 336 nt
Filed under: uncultured bacterium
Lineage: Bacteria
Description: bacterial SSU rRNA
Rfam family: Archaeal small subunit ribosomal RNA
Source: RNAcentral